Molecule: long non-coding RNA, 1124 nt
Organism: Bos taurus (domestic cattle)
Lineage: Eukaryota; Metazoa; Chordata; Mammalia; Artiodactyla; Bovidae
Source: Ensembl
AGUACUCACCGGGAGAGGCGGAGAGGCGGGUAUAGCUUGGGCGGUUCGGCUGGAGCCGGAUCCUGGAAGUGUUGGCCAGAGGCUUCUGUCACCGGGAUUCGAGCCUGCGGAGGUGGUGGCUCUAUGACCUCGGGGAGAGCUGGCGGAGGAGCAGCGGCUGCUGCAGGAACUUCACCUGGCCCUGGAUCGGGAAUUAAGGCGGCCUCCGGUCCUGGUGGAGCACUGGGAGGCAGACCUUCUCCUACUUUUCGUUCUGUCUACGAAGUUCUCGGUACCCUAUGUACUUCUGAUACUUCCACUCAAUCAAACACUUAAAUUGCCAUUCUGCCUCCGUCCUAACUGGGGUGAGAAGAGCCUUACCUGCCAGAUCCCAGAGGGAGAAGGGGGAUCGGCGUGUCUUCACCUGCCGGUCAGCACAGCCGAACCAGAACACCACGUGGUCCAAGACUGUUUCUCCCUUAACUUUCAAAGUCUGUUCUGCUUUGGUGGACUUGAUCAGGCACUAAACACAGAGUUCAGAGUCCAUUGGAAAGGUGGCCGAGCAUGAUCAGCAUGAACAGGCCUAAGAUGGAGUCCUAUGAAUUCCUUCUUCAGUCUUAUAUGAUUUUACACAGGGUGGUGGUGAUGAAAGCAAAUCCACAUUUUAAGGCAAGACGAGAAAAAUGUAAACAAACAUCACCAGCAUCAGAACGCUCUCAUCUUGUGAUCAAGGAGCUGAGCUGUCACUUCCGCCAGGAGGGAAAAGGCCCACGCUGCCCAUCGCAGAUCUGUGCAUGGUCGCUAUACAGGAUACAGCACAGCCCAGAACUUUCAGAAACCCGGGUCACGGCGCCACCCUAGCACAGUCCCGUUACAGCACGCUUUGAGCGUUCUUGCUUCCACGCUCAGAGGUUCUGCAGCCAAUAUGUGUGGAGGGCGUCCCCAGACACCGGCGGUUCUCAGACACAGUUGGGUCAGCUCAAGCCAGUCCUGACUCCAUCUCCCUGGACGCAGCGAGACUUCGCCCCCAAGAGACUCCCACUUCAGACACCAGCUGGCGGUCCUCAGUGGAGCCCUGUUCUGCCACUGUCUCCCUCAGGUUAAGGGUGUGGUCCUGAGAGGCUCUCCCCGCCCCCAGCCUCAGG